Aedes aegypti (yellow fever mosquito) is the source of this 72-nucleotide non-coding RNA. The record is from Rfam. NCBI's taxonomy places the organism in Eukaryota, Metazoa, Arthropoda, Insecta, Diptera, Culicidae.
GGCUCAGUAGUUUAGUUGGUAAAGCACUCGUCUAGCAUAUAAAAACCGUGGGUUCGAAUCCCACCUGAGCAA